This 778-nucleotide ribosomal RNA is filed under the name uncultured Neocallimastigales. Its description in RNAcentral is "partial large subunit ribosomal RNA". It matches the Rfam family "Eukaryotic large subunit ribosomal RNA", at positions 24 to 646 of the family's 3401-position model. Lineage: Eukaryota; Fungi; Neocallimastigomycota; Neocallimastigomycetes; Neocallimastigales. The record is from RNAcentral.
GUAGUCUCGCACAGAUGCAUAUCAAUAAGCGGAGGAAAAGAAACUAACAAGGAUUCCCCUAGUAACGGCGAGUGAAGCGGGAAGAGCUCAAACUUUGAAAUCUUAAAGGGUUUCCCUUUACGAAUUGUAGUUUAAAGAAGUGUUUUUCUGUUGAGGUUUUGGUAAAAGUUCUUUGGAAUAGGACAUCAUAGAGGGUGAGAAUCCCGUAUUUGACCUUUACUUUCAACUUUGUGAUACACUUUCAAAGAGUCGGAUUGUUUGGGAAUGCAGGUCCAAAAUGAGUGGUAAAUUUCAUCUAAAGCUAAAUAUUGGCGAGAGACCGAUAGCGAACAAGUACCGUGAGGGAAAGAUGAAAAGAACUUUGAAAAGAGAGUUAAACAGUACGUGAAAUUGUCAAAAGGGAAGCGUUUGACACCAGUGUUGUUUUUCUGAAAAUCAAUUAAAGAACUGUUUAUGCUAAGUUGUUUAGACUUUAUCAGCUAUCUGUUUAGUUUUGAGCUUUUCUUUAAUGCACUCUUUCAGUUAACAAGUCAACAUCAAUUUCUUUUGCUGUAAAAAAGCUUGAGGAAGGUGGCUUGAGAUUCGUCUUAAGUGUUUAUAGCCUCUUGCCUAUGCAGUCGGAGAGAUUGAGGUCUGCAGCGUAGAUCCUUCGGGGCUAAAUGCAUUUGUGCUAAGUUAUAGCAUUUUAUAGACAACUUGUUGACUAUGAUUUGUCUUGUAGCUUACUCGCUUAUGUUAUUUUACCUACGCUUAGGAUGUUGAUGUGAUACUGCGAGCA